CAACAGUGAGUGAGGUCAUCAACAGGUAGAGUGAGGUCAUCAGCAGGUAGAGUGAGGUCAUCAGCAGGUAGAGUGAGGUCAUCAACGGGUAGAGUGAGGUCAUCAACGGGUAGAGUGAGGUCAUCAGCAGGUAGAGUGAGGUCAUCAGCGGGUAGAGUGAGGUCAUCAGCAGGUAGAGUGAGGUCAUCAACGGGUGGAGUGAGGUCAUCAGCAGGUAGAGUGAGGUCAUCAGCAAGUAGAGUGAGGUCAUCAACGGGUAGAGUGAGGUCAUCAGCAGGUACAGUGAGGUCAUCAACAGGUAGAGUGAGGUCAUCAGCAGGUAGAGUGAGGUCAUCAGCAGGUAGAGUGAGGUCAUUAACAGGUAGAGUGAGGUCAUCAGCAGGUAGAGUGAGGUCAUUAACAGGUAGAGUGAGGUCAUUAACAGGUAGAGUGAGGUCAUCAGCAGGUAGAGUGAGGUCAUCAGCAGGUAGAGUGAGGUCAUCAGCAGGUACAGUGAGGUCAUCAACAAAAAAUCUUUAAGUUAGAUUAAUUUAGUUCAUUUUAAUCUUAAAUUAAUUUACAAUAUAACUUAAAUGAACAGGCAGAUCCGCAAUAAGGCAUCUCGUGGAGCGCACUGGCAGAAGCGGCGCUCGUCGGCUGCUCGUAUCCACCCGUCCAUGCCGAGGAUCACCGUGGCGGCGGACACAAAACACGACUCGCUCGGCGACGCCGACUUCUUCGUCUCCUGGGGGUCAACAGUGAGAGGAGUCUUCAUCCCCGCACUGCAACACACAUUCAAGUCUCCAGACUUAGAGCAGCUCUACCAGCAGUUUUCAUCUGGUCAGAGAAGAACCUCGCUGGUCGUCACCAACGUGAUCGACAUCGUCACCAGACUCUUCAUCCUGUUGCUAACAUGGCCGCCGGGCUGGUGGGGCGUGGCCUGUGAUUGGCUGGCUGCCUUAUCGGUCGUCCUGUGGGCGGGAAUCUGCUUCCUGUCGCUGACCAAGAAGACGGUGAUGUCGUCGCCGCAGUGGCUGAGGUACCUGUCUGUGGUCAGCUGGCUGUCUCAGGCUCUGCAGGUGUUGGUGGGUGUGUUCAGUUGGGCGGAGAGCGAUCACUCCUGGUACGUCUUCUUCUCUCUGUUCUCCACCUACACCCUGCUGCCCCUCCCCCUCCUCUGGUCCAUCGUCGCCGGGGCAACCACCUCCUCCUUGCACCUGCUGCUGGAUGUCUGCUGUCACUACGGCGACCACACCUUUUUCAGAAAGGUGUUGUCGAAGGCGCUCUUGUACCUGGCCAUGAACACCGCCGGUCUGUUCAUUCACUACCUGUCAGACCGGACUCAGAGACAGGCCUUCCUGGAGACCAGACGCUGUAUCGAGGGACGAGUCCGACUGGAGCGAGAGAACCAGAGACAGGAACGUCUGGUGAUGUCCAUCCUGCCUCGAUUUCUGGUUCUAGAGAUGAUCGCUGACAUGGCCCCCAUAGAUGAAUAUCUGCUGCCUCAGCAGUUCCAAAAGAUCUACAUCCAUCACUACAAAGACGUCAGCAUUCUGUUUGCGGAUAUUAUCGGCUUCACCUCUUUGUCGCUGAUUCUUUCGGCUCAAGAACUCGUUAAAACUCUCAAUGAACUCUUUGGUCGCUUCGAUAGGCUGGCAGAGGAGCACCAGUGUCUGCGCAUUAAGAUCCUGGGGGACUGUUAUUAUUGUGUCUCUGGAGUACCGGAGCCCCAGAGGGGGCAUGCCCGCUGCUGCGUGGAGAUGGGUCUCAGUAUGAUCAACACCAUACGUUACGUCCGUCGGGAGUUGCAGCAGGACGUGGACAUGAGGAUCGGCGUCCAUUCGGGUUCGGUCCUCUGCGGUGUUCUGGGUCUUCAGAAGUGGCAGUUUGACAUCUGGAGCUGGGACGUGGACAUUGCCAACAGCCUGGAGGCCGCAGGAGUGCCGGGGCGGAUUCAUAUCUCGCGGGCCACAAUGGACUCUCUCGGCGGGAUCUACGAGACGGACGCGGGGCACGGCCAGGAACGCAGCGAGUUUCUAAGGAAACACAACAUCGACACCUACCUGAUCCGCCCGGCGCCGCGGGAGGAGGCGGAGCCACCGAGAGCGAGGCGUCCAAGUUACGACGAGAUGACGACAUGGAGCGCCGAGCUGCCAUUCGGAGACAUCCUGGGAAUGAACUUUAUCCUCGCCACCUUCACGAACGGAUCGUUAACUCAGCUGCCCAAUCAGAUCGCAGCGCAGCGGUCAGGAUCGCGGGAGGUCAACAAGAGGAUCUGUCAGGCCAUGGAGGUCCGGAGCAGCGAGCGGAUGAGGAAGGAGCAUAUCACAACGUUCACUCAGGUGUUCAAGGACUCCAACAUGGAGGGAAAGUACUCCCAAAUGAGAGACGAACUCUUCAAGUCCAACAUGGUGUGUUCGUUCAUCCUGCUGCUGCUGCUGAUGGCUGUCCAGGCACUGAUCCCUGCCCCACGAUUUUGUCCGAUGGCUGCUCAGUUCUUGAUCAGCGGCAGCGUUUACUUCCUGCUCCUGCUGCUCACUCUGGGGGAGGAGCUUAAGCGUUGCCCCGCCCCCCUGCAGUCUCUCUGCUGCUGGGUUCACGAAACCAAACCCGCCAGGACGAUGCUCACGCUCACCGCCAUCGCCGUCAACUUCGGAGUCGCCUCCUCAGACAUUCUGUGGUGCGAUUCGUCAGACACUCACAACAGCAGCGACUCCCAGCUGGCUCCGCCCACCUCCACCUGGUCGGACAUCAACAUCUGCACACAUCCAGAGUACAUGGUGCUGAGUGGUGUGGUUGCCAUGGUUACCUGCGCAGUGUUCCUCAGGUUGAGUUGCGUGUUGAAGCUGGUCGUCCUCCUGCUGGCCGCCGCCCUCUACACCUACCUCAUAGAGACGCACAGGUCUCAUCACUUGUGUAAGAAGGGCAUUUGCGUCGUUCUCAUGGUGAUGUUUGUGGUAGCCGUCCUCUACAACAGCAGACACCUGGAGGCGACGGCGCGGCUGGACUUCCUGUGGCGACUCCAGGCGAGGAAGGAGGUGGAGGACAUGAGGGAGCUGAGGGAGCACAACGAGUGUCUGCUGCUCAACAUCCUGCCGGCACACGUCGCCCAGCACUUCCUGGACAGAGACCGCCACGACGAGGAGUUGUACUCGCAGUCGUACGAGCGAGUCGGCGUCCUCUUCGCCUCCCUGCCGGGUUUCUCUGACUUCUACGAGCAGAAGGAGGUCGUUCAUCAGCCCGUUGAAUGUCUCCGCCUCCUCAACCACAUCAUCACCGACUUCGAUGAGCUGCUGGAUGAAUGUUACUUCCAGGAAGUGGAGAAGAUUAAAACCAUCGGCAGUUCGUAUAUGGCAGCUUCUGGUCUCUCUCCUGACAGACAGGAGUGCGAGGAUGGCUGGCAUCACCUCAGCGUGUUGGUGCUGUUCGCUCUCGCCAUGCAGGAAACGCUCAAACACAUCAACACGCACACAGGAAACAGCUUCCAGCUGCGAGUCGGUAUCGCUCAUGGGCCGGUGAUUGCCGGCGUGAUCGGCGCCACCAAACCUCAGUACGACAUCUGGGGGACGACGGUGAACAUGGCGAGCCGGAUGGAGAGCACCGGCAUCAGCGGGAGGAUCCAGGUCCCAGAGUCCACCAGCUGCAUCCUGGUGGAGCGAGGCUUCCUACGGCAGCUCAGAGGGAACAUUUACCUCAAAGGCAUCAGUGAACGCCACGGAAAGGUUCGUACGUUUUUCGUGAGCAGUCGCGAGGAGCGGUCCAGUUUCACGGAGCGCGGCGGUGGGCGGGGCUUCAGUCUGAACAGGAACACGCUGGGAGCUGUGGUCUACAGUCUGGUUCAGGCCCGGAAGAGGGAGAAACGGAUGGAGGAGAACGGAGGGUUCCACCUGGUGGAGGCGUCGUAGGAGGAGGCCAGGUGUCAGCCUCCUAUCAGAAUGUCCUCUUCCGUGGUUUGGAUUCAAAAAACAAGAAAGCUUUAUUUAAAAUCUAGAAGAAGUUUCCCGACUGCAUAUGCUUCAAAAGAGAAAUUUAAUUUUAGUGGAUGUGGUCUUGCAGCCAGUGAACGGCAGCGGCGUCUGUAGGCCGUAGAUUUAAUACACCCACGAACUGACGCAGCUAUCACUUUGGACUCCUGGACCAUGAACAUGUGACUUCAAUCAAAUCUUUAAAUUCAGCCUCAGAGAGUCUAUUGAUUACCGAUAUUGAUUACCAUGGGAUCUUCUUCACUGUCACAUGCUGGGGCAGUGGGCUGAGGGUCGCAGACAACAACAGACUAAACAAACUGAUCAGGAGGGCCGGUGAUGUCGUGGGGGAGGAGCUGGACACCCUGACGACCGUGGCAGAGAGGAGGAUGCUGUCCAGGCUUCAGUCCAUCUUGAACAAUGUCUCUCACCCUCUCUACGACACACUGGCCCAGCAGAGGAGCACCUUCAGCAGAAGACUCCUCUCACCCAGAUGCACCACAGAGCGCCACAGGAAAUCAUUCCUGCCUGUGGUCAUUAAACGCCUCCUGUACUCUGAUUGAAUCCUAACAUUAUUAAACUGUACAGUUUACCUUUUAUAUAUGAUUCUGAUUCCGAUUCUGAUAAACAGGAAGAACCCCGUAAACUCACUGAUUUUCUAACCUUUUUAGAAAUAAUUUAAAUAAUUGAGAAACUAGACCUUAAAAUUAACAUUUAAAUGUCCUUAAAAUGUUCUUUCAAUGUUUAAAAUAUUCCAGGUUAUCACCAACAGAUGAGCUGAGGGAGCUCUGUGCACUCAGAGACAGCGAUUGAAUCAAUCAAAGAGUUCAACAGUAAAACUAAAACCUCUCAGUAUGGGAGCUUGAUCAGCUGCUCACUGUGUGUUUUUAUGUUAAUAACUAAUCACAGAGGCUGAUAAAGUCCGUCAGCUGCUGCUGCUUUUAUUUUCUCACAGUCUGCUUUCAUCUUUAGACCCCUGAAACCUUAAAAAACACAUUGAAUGAACCUCCAGGAGAACAGGAGCUUCUGCUCUUGUAAGACAACUUGUUUGUUUCGUUAGAAAUUUCGAUUUUUAAUGCAAACAUUAUCAUUUCCA
This is an RNA transcript of Dicentrarchus labrax (European seabass), 5037 nucleotides long. It is a transcript of the gene named adenylate cyclase type 8, with no coding region annotated. The transcript is spliced from 25 exons. The record is from RefSeq and is a predicted model, not a curated record. Lineage: Eukaryota; Metazoa; Chordata; Actinopteri; Moronidae.